CCUACGGGAGGCAGCAGUAAGGAAUCUUCCACAAUGGACGAAAGUCUGAUGGAGCAACGCCGCGUGCAGGAUGAAGGCUUUCGGGUCGUAAACUGCUUUUAUAUGGGAAGAUUAUGACGGUACCAUAUGAAUAAGGACCGGCUAACUACGUGCCAGCAGCCGCGGUAAUACGUAGGGUCCAAGCGAUAUCCGGAAUUACUGGGCGUAAAGCGUGUGUAGGUGGAUUAAUAAGUGUGAUGCGAAAUCCGGCGGCUCAACCGUUUGGACUGUGUCGCAUACUGUUAGUCUAGAGGACGGCAGAGGUAAGUGGAAUUACGGGUGUAGCAGUGAAAUGCGUAGAUAUCCGUAGGAACACCAAUGGCGAAGGCAGCUUACUGGGCCACACCUGACACUGAGACACGAAAGCGUGGGGAGCGAACAGGAUUAGAUACCCUGGUAGUCCACGCCGUAAACGAUGCAUACUAUUAGUAUGGGGUAUCGACCCCCUGUGCUGAGAAGCUAACGCGAUAAGUAUGCCGCCUGGGGAGUACGAGCGCAAGCUAAACUCAAAGGAAUUGACGGNGNGAGAGNGCGAGACGACGACGAGGGAGAGG
RNAcentral lists this ribosomal RNA (593 nucleotides) under uncultured bacterium. RNAcentral describes it as "bacterial SSU rRNA". It matches the Rfam family "Bacterial small subunit ribosomal RNA", at positions 338 to 947 of the family's 1533-position model. The record is from RNAcentral.